This 467-nucleotide ribosomal RNA is filed under the name uncultured bacterium. Its description in RNAcentral is "partial 16S ribosomal RNA". It matches the Rfam family "Bacterial small subunit ribosomal RNA", at positions 29 to 507 of the family's 1533-position model. The record is from RNAcentral.
AGUGAACGCUGGCGGUAGGCCUAACACAUGCAAGUCGAACGGAAGCAUAGUAAGAGCUUGCUCUUACGGGUGGCGAGCGGCGGACCGGUGAGGAAUACACCGGAUUCUACUUUGUCGUGGGUGAUAACGUAGGGAAACUUAUGCUAAUACCGCAUACGUCCUAAGGGUGAAAGCAGGCGAUCUUCGGACUUUGCGCGAUUGGAGGGGCCGAUGUCGGAUUAGCUAGUUGGCGGGGUAAAGGCGCAUCAAGGCCACGAUCCGUAGCUGGUCAGAGAGGAUGACCAGAGACACUGGGACUGAGCCACGGCGCAGAAUCUUACGGGAGGCAGGAGUGGGGGAUCUUGCGCAAUGGGCGAAAGCCUGACGCAGCCAGGCCGGGUGAAUGAUGAAGGUCUUAGGAUUGUAAAAUUCUUUCACCGGGGACGAUAAUGACGGUACCCGAAGAAGAAGCCCCGGCUAACUUCGUG